UAUCUCAGUUGUUCACGUCACAAUAGAAUA
RNAcentral lists this non-coding RNA (30 nucleotides) under Rattus norvegicus (Norway rat). The record is from RNAcentral. Lineage: Eukaryota; Metazoa; Chordata; Mammalia; Rodentia; Muridae.